GAAGUCAGUGUGGAACCUUCAAAUGCAUAUAAGCUUAUUCUGUAUCAUUCAAGUUUAUUAAAAGAAAGACCAAACAACCAAAAAAGCCCCAGUAAUAAAAUCACUGCCUUUACUCCUGAUUUUAUGAAGAAAAACUGACCUGAAAUAGACUUAGAACUUCACUGCUUCCAUGAAGACAGAAAAGAAGUCCCACAAGGAUUUUCUGAGCGCAACCAUGACCAGCGCACUGCAGAAAAUACAAAGGAGGCCAAUGUACCCGGAACGCUUCACGCCUGGAAGGUGACACGCAUACAGAGUGGAGAGCGAGCCUACAGAAAAGUUGAUGACUCAGUUUGUAUCUGGCACGCAUACCAAACCACAGAGUUUUCUCCAGUCAUUUCUGUAGCAAACUUAAUAAAUAGCUGAAAUGAUACAGCUUUCCUAGAAAGAUAGACUUUCCUGAUUCUGAGUGAUGAAACAACAUUUUUCUUGUACAUUUUUUUUUGCCGAGAAAUUUCACACUAAGGGUGUUUAGCUGCUUUGAACAUGGUGGCUCACUGAACACAACCUUACAUUUUCUUCCCAAGCAAUCUUGUCCCCCUCUGGGACUGAUGUUGUCACAUCCACUGUGAGCGCCUCCUCUGAUUUUUCUAACUUCUGUGUUCAGAAUUCUGAACACUAAUUUAUUUCAUUCAUACUCCUAA
Molecule: long non-coding RNA, 683 nt
Organism: Chiroxiphia lanceolata (lance-tailed manakin)
Lineage: Eukaryota; Metazoa; Chordata; Aves; Passeriformes; Pipridae
Exons: 4
Source: RefSeq, a predicted model, not a curated record